GAUGAACGCUGGCGGCGUGCCUAACACAUGCAAGUCGAACGGAGUUCUUAAGGAAUGCGACUUCGGUCAAAUGACUUUUGAACUUAGUGGCGGACGGGUGAGUAACGCGUGAGCAACCUGCCUUUCAGAGGGGGAUAACAUUUGGAAACAGAUGCUAAUACCGCAUAAGAUUACAGUACCGCAUGAUACAGUGAUCAAAGGAGCAAUCCGCCGAAAGAUGGGCUCGCGUCCGAUUAGAUAGUUGGUGAGGUAACGGCUCACCAAGUCGACGAUCGGUAGCCGGACUGAGAGGUUGAACGGCCACAUUGGGACUGAGACACGGCCCAGACUCCUACGGGAGGCAGCAGUGGGGAAUAUUGCACAAUGGGCGAAAGCCUGAUGCAGCAACGCCGCGUGAGGGAAGACGGUUUUCGGAUUGUAAACCUCUGUUUUCGGUGACGAACAAAUGACGGUAACCGAGUAGGAAGCCACGGCUAACUACGUGCCAGCAGCCGCGGUAAUACGUAGGUGGCAAGCGUUAUCCGGAAUUACUGGGUGUAAAGGGAGCGCAGGCGGGAUAGCAAGUCAGCUGUGAAAACUAUGGGCUCAACCCAUAAACUGCAGUUGAAACUGUUAUUCUUGAGUGGAGUAGAGGCAAGCGGAAUUCCGAGUGUAGCGGUGAAAUGCGUAGAUAUUCGGAGGAACACCAGUGGCGAAGGCGGCUUGCUGGGCUCUAACUGACGCUGAGGCUCGAAAGUGUGGGGAGCAAACAGGAUUAGAUACCCUGGUAGUCCACACUGUAAACGAU
RNAcentral lists this ribosomal RNA (787 nucleotides) under uncultured bacterium. RNAcentral's name for it is "bacterial SSU rRNA". It matches the Rfam family "Bacterial small subunit ribosomal RNA", at positions 28 to 810 of the family's 1533-position model. The record is from RNAcentral.